This 488-nucleotide ribosomal RNA is filed under the name uncultured bacterium. RNAcentral's name for it is "bacterial SSU rRNA". It matches the Rfam family "Bacterial small subunit ribosomal RNA", at positions 30 to 507 of the family's 1533-position model. The record is from RNAcentral.
AUUGAACGCUGGCGGCAGGCCUAACACAUGCAAGUCGAGCGGUAGCACAGAGAGCUUGCUCUCGGGUGACGAGCGGCGGACGGGUGAGUAAUGUUUGGGAAACUGCCUGAUGGAGGGGGAUAACUACUGGAAACGGUAGCUAAUACCGCAUAACGUCGCAAGACCAAAGUGGGGGACCUUCGGGCCUCAUGCCAUCAGAUGUGCCCCGAUGGGAUUAGCUAGUAGGUGGGGUAACGGCUCACCUAGGCGACGAUCCCUAGCUGGUUUGAGAGGAUGACCAGCCCCCCUGGAAAUGAGACACGGUCCCGACUCCUACGGGAGGCAGCAGUGGGGAAUAUUGCACAAUGGGCGCAAGCCUGAUGCAGCCCUGCCGCGUGUGUGAAGAAGGCCUUCGGGUUGUAAAGCACUUUCAGCGGGGAGGAAGGCGAUAAGGUUAAUAACCUUGUCGAUUGACGUUACCCGCAGAAGAAGCACCGGCUAACUCCGUG